This 266-nucleotide long non-coding RNA is filed under the name Elaeis guineensis (African oil palm). RNAcentral describes it as "long non-coding RNA (EGUI_LNC078509)". Lineage: Eukaryota; Viridiplantae; Streptophyta; Magnoliopsida; Arecales; Arecaceae. The record is from RNAcentral.
GUGUGUGACCCCGCUAGAUUCGAACCUAAGCCGGUAGCACAGGAACCAAUUCCUGUACUAAUCGAAGUGCCCAUCUAGCAAUGGUACCCGACAUCCAGAUAGGUCGAAUAAUCGCAAUCGCAAUACUCAGAACCUACGUGAAUAUGAUUACUAUAUAAUUCAUCCCUUUUGAUCCCUGUGUAUAGGACGACUCAGGGUUAAACUGUCAACCCUGAUUAGAUCAUCCGAGUCGUGCUCAACUCAAACAGUCCUGUGACUCCUCAUUA